RNAcentral lists this transfer RNA (69 nucleotides) under Marmota monax (woodchuck). RNAcentral describes it as "tRNA.Ala". The stretch from base 5 to 63 matches the Rfam family "tRNA", at positions 7 to 64 of the family's 71-position model. From Rfam's summary of the family: Transfer RNA (tRNA) molecules are approximately 80 nucleotides in length. Their secondary structure includes four short double-helical elements and three loops (D, anti-codon, and T loops). The record is from RNAcentral. Lineage: Eukaryota; Metazoa; Chordata; Mammalia; Rodentia; Sciuridae.
GGAGGUAGCUCAGUGGUAGAGUGCUUGCUUAGCAUGUGUGAGGACCUGGGUUCAAUCCCCAGCACUGCA